Molecule: long non-coding RNA, 441 nt
Organism: Hipposideros armiger (great roundleaf bat)
Lineage: Eukaryota; Metazoa; Chordata; Mammalia; Chiroptera; Hipposideridae
Exons: 3
Source: RefSeq, a predicted model, not a curated record
CCGGGCUCGGGAACGGUGCCCGGGCCCUGCGCGGCGACGCGGGGCAGCUCGGCGGGGCUGACCCCCCUCGCGGCGGGCGGCCGGCCCGGGGCGGCUGCGGGGAGCCCAGCUGUGCUCCGCCCGGGCAGAAGCUAAGCGAACGGCACGCUCUUCCUGAACUUCGCGGGAACGCGUCCAGCAAGCUCCUGCUCUCCUCCCGGCACGCGUGCGCUGCAGUCGCCAUCUAGAUGACAGGCACAGCCACCGUGAGGACCACGCAGUGAGCGAAGCGCGCUUCGGUGUGGAGGCCAAGGCCGUUUCCAGGGGCUCUUGAAUGCGGAAACUGAGGUCAUCUGCCCAAGGUCACAGAGCUAGUAAGUGGCAGGCCUUCUAGAGUCCAAACCCUUCACAUCAACCACAAUCCACAUGUGUGCGCCAGUGUUCUGUACAUUCACCAUGAAA